Canis lupus familiaris (dog) is the source of this 773-nucleotide long non-coding RNA. RefSeq lists it as uncharacterized. The transcript has 5 exons. The record is from RefSeq and is a predicted model, not a curated record. Lineage: Eukaryota; Metazoa; Chordata; Mammalia; Carnivora; Canidae.
CCCGGGACUCCCAGGAUCACAGCCUAGGCCAAAGGCAGACGCUCAACCGCUGAGCCACCCAGUUGAUUCCCAACCGUAAAUGAAAAAGCAAGCCGACAAAGUCAAAGCUGCUCAAACAGCAGAAGACGCCAUGCGGGUAAUCGAACAGAUGACCAAAGAGAAGAGCGAAACUCUGGCCUCCUUGGAGGAUACCAAGCAAACAAAUGAAAAACUACAGAAUGAAUAUGGCCUCAUGCAGGUUGGAUCUGUGUUAGUGAAGUCAAAUAUACACCAGGAGCACAAUAAUAUUAAAUAAAGUAUAUUACUUCAUUAAAAAAAAGGUCCCCAUCAUCUGAAGUCUCUCUCCAGGGGACCCUGAGAAUGGAAUGGAAAGAACCCUGGAUUUGGUGCCAGGAGAUCUCAGUGUAAAUCCUGAUUCUGUGCAUCAAGCAACUGACAGGCUUGGGGGAGGCAUCUGCCUCUCAGAGCUCAGUCUCCUUCCUGGGCACAGUGGACUUUCCAAGUCAGCCUCCUUCACUAGGCUGUUGGGAGAGUCAAAAGAACAUCAAGGAAGGGCUUGCUAAUAAGUAAUCUUUACUACAGAGUGAAGAAAAUUCAAAGGACAAAUAAUGCAUAAUUGAGUUACAUUCCAGGUACAAAUUUUUAUUAUUCAAAUAACCAUGCAUAUACAUUAAACAACCAAUGUUUCAAACAUUCAACUUUGGCAUUCUCUUUUUUAAAUCUGCAGAGCUCUUUCUUUUUUUUUUUUUUGGCUGGGUACAGUAUACUUUAUU